GUGUUCUACUCUACUCUUCAUUCAAUUCUCACAGUGCAGAGCAAUCUAUACUCUAAAUAUAUAUAGCUAUAUAUAUACCCUCUUUGGCUUUCUAUACUUGUUUUCCAUUUAAGAUGAGUUGCUUUAAGAAUCUUGUCUUAAACAUGGUUUUGCUAUUUGUGAUUCUCUUAUCAAUGAAUCUCGCAAUAGCAAGACAGCCCCUUUGGAUAUCAGAGCCUCACUACACACAUGGACGCCUCCUUUACCAUGAUCAACCAGCAAGAGGCCACAAUUAUGACGUCCCUAAGGGAAAGUGAAGCGGAGGUGGGUUGGGUUUCAAGGAGAAAAGUUUACUGUGGAGAAGCAGAUGUAUAACUGCAUAUGUACUAUGUUACUUUGUUUUGGAAUUACGAUUUCCUUUGAGUGUCGUCAAUAAUAUUAAUAAAUUCAGCUCAACUGUGGAGACUUAGGUCUUAAAGUCUUAAUGAGUCAAGCUGUGAUAAGAUGUGUCAUCAAAAUUAUUAGACUAAAAUUUUAUGUUUAUGUUUAUGUACGUUUACUUCUUGUGUUUGGCCUCAUGUUAAUUAUUUUUGAAUUGUAAUAGUCUUCGUUAGCCACUCGGUUUUA
Molecule: long non-coding RNA, 606 nt
Organism: Cajanus cajan (pigeon pea)
Lineage: Eukaryota; Viridiplantae; Streptophyta; Magnoliopsida; Fabales; Fabaceae
Source: RefSeq, a predicted model, not a curated record